Molecule: ribosomal RNA, 1487 nt
Filed under: uncultured delta proteobacterium
Lineage: Bacteria; Deltaproteobacteria
Description: bacterial SSU rRNA
Rfam family: Bacterial small subunit ribosomal RNA
Source: RNAcentral
AGAGUUUGAUCUUGGCUCAGAACGAACGCUGGCGGCACGCUUAAUACAUGCAAGUCGAACGGUAACAGCUUUGAAGCAAUUCAAAGGCUGACGAGUGGCGCACGGGUGAGUAACACGUAGGUGACCUGUCCUAUAGUAAAGAAUAACAAUGAGAAAUUAUUGCUAAUACUUUAUAAGUCCAUGAUUCUUGAAUAUUUUAUGGAGAAAGAUUUAUCGCUAUUGGAGGGGCUUGCGGGGUAUUAGCUAGUUGGUGAGGUAAUGGCUCACCAAGGCUACGAUACCUAACCGGUCUGAGAGGAUGAUCGGUCACACUGGGACUGAGACACGGCCCAGACUCCUACGGGAGGCAGCAGUAGGGAAUAUUGCGCAAUGGAGGAAACUCUGACGCAGCGAUGCCGCGUGAGUGAGGAAGGUCUUCGGAUUGUAAAGCUCUGUCGUUAGGGAAAAAUUUUGAUGGUACCUAACAAGAAAGCACCGGCUAACUUCGUGCCAGCAGCCGCGGUAAUACGAAGGGUGCAAGCGUUGUUCGGAUUUACUGGGCGUAAAGAGCGAGCAGGCGGUUAGAUAAGUUAGAUGUGAAAGCCCUGGGCUUAACCCAGGAAUUGCGUUUAAAACUGUCUAGCUAGAAUAAAAGAGAGGAAAGGGGAAUUUCACAUGUAGGGGUAAUAUCCGUAGAUAUGUGAAGGAACACCGGAGGCGAAGGCGCCUUUCUGGCUUUUUAUUGACGCUGAGUCGCGAAAGCGUGGGGAGCAAACAGGAUUAGAUACCCUGGUAGUCCACGCUGUAAACGAUGAAUACUAGUCAUUGGUCUUUUAGAUCAGUGACGAAGCUAACGCGAUAAGUAUUCCGCCUGGGAAGUACGGUCGCAAGACUAAAACUCAAAGGAAUUGACGGGGGCCCGCACAAGCGGUGGAUUAUGUGGUUUAAUUCGAAGGUACACGCAGAACCUUACCUAGGUUUGAAAUCCUUCUAAGUCGGGGUAAUGCCUGAUGUGCCCGCAAGGGAAAGAAGUGACAGGUGCUGCAUGGCUGUCGUCAGCUCGUGUUGUGAAAUGUUGGGUUAAGUCUCGCAACGAGCGCAACCCCUAUUUUUAGUUACCAUCAUUAAGUUGGGGACUCUAGAAAUACUGCCUGGGUUAACCAGGAGGAAGGUGGGGAUGACGUCAAGUCCUCAUGGCCCUUAUGUCUAGGGCUACACACGUAAUACAAUGGUUGAGUAUGAAGAGAUGCAAAACAGCGAUGUAGAGCAAACCUCAAAAAAUCAAUCUCAGUCCGGAUUGGAGUCUGCAAUUCGACUCCAUGAAGUUGGAAUCGCUAGUAAUCGCGAAUUAGAGGGUCGCGGUGAAUACGUUCUCGGGCCUUGUACACACCGCCCGUCACACCAUGGAAGUUGAAUCUAUCUGAAGGCGUGACCUUAACCCGCAAGGGAGAGGAGCGACUACGGUAGGUUCGAUGACUGGGGUGAAGUCGUAACAAGGUAGCCGUAGA